This 235-nucleotide ribosomal RNA is filed under the name uncultured bacterium. Its description in RNAcentral is "partial 16S ribosomal RNA". It matches the Rfam family "Bacterial small subunit ribosomal RNA", at positions 118 to 353 of the family's 1533-position model. The record is from RNAcentral.
UGAGCAAUCUGCCCUUCUCUUUGGAAUAAGCGUUGGAAACGACGUCUAAUGCCGAAUACGACCUCCUUUCGCAUGAUCGGAGGUGGAAAGCUCCGGCGGAGAAGGAUGAGCUCGCGGCCUAUCAGCUAGUUGGUGUGGGUAAUGGCCCACCAAGGCGACGACGGGUAGCCGGCCUGAGAGGGUGACCGGCCACACUGGGACAGUGACACGGCCCAGACUCCUACGGGAGGNAGCG